GCCUCCGUAGCUCAGUCUGGUCAAGAGCAGCGUACUUUUAAUACGCGGGUCGAGAGUUCAAAUCUCUCCGGGGGCAC
Molecule: transfer RNA, 77 nt
Filed under: Arthrobacter phage Mimi
Lineage: Duplodnaviria; Heunggongvirae; Uroviricota; Caudoviricetes
Also listed under: 1 other name
Description: tRNA-Lys
Rfam family: tRNA
About the family: Transfer RNA (tRNA) molecules are approximately 80 nucleotides in length. Their secondary structure includes four short double-helical elements and three loops (D, anti-codon, and T loops). Further hydrogen bonds mediate the characteristic L-shaped molecular structure. tRNAs have two regions of fundamental functional importance: the anti-codon, which is responsible for specific mRNA codon recognition, and the 3' end, to which the tRNAs corresponding amino acid is attached (by aminoacyl-tRNA synthetases). tRNAs cope with the degeneracy of the genetic code in two manners: having more than one tRNA (with a specific anti-codon) for a particular amino acid; and 'wobble' base-pairing, i.e. permitting non-standard base-pairing at the 3rd anti-codon position.
Source: RNAcentral